Molecule: ribosomal RNA, 253 nt
Filed under: uncultured bacterium
Lineage: Bacteria
Description: partial 16S ribosomal RNA
Rfam family: Bacterial small subunit ribosomal RNA
Source: RNAcentral
UACGGAGGGUGCAAGCGUUAUCCGGAUUCACUGGGCUUAAAGGGCGCGUAGGCGGGCAGGUAAGUCAGUGGUGAAAUCUCCGAGCUUAACUUGGAAACUGCCGUUGAUACUAUCUGCCUUGAAUAUUGUGGAGGUGAGCGGAAUAUGUCAUGUAGCGGUGAAAUGCUUAGAUAUGACAUAGAACACCAAUUGCGAAGGCAGCUCGCUAAACAUAUAUUGACUCUGAGGCACGAAAGCGUGGGGAUCAAACAGG